AAAUGGAGACAAUCGCUAUAGUUUUAGAUUAUAGAGGAAAGUCCAUGCUCUUACAUACUGUGAUGUAUGUAGUGUUUGUGCUAGAUGAAAAAAUAAAUCUAGGCAGUUAUUAACUGAUGGCUGAGUUGAUUCCUAAGUUAUUUUAAUAUGGAUAAAACCUGUAAAAGUGUCACAGUGACGAAGCUAGAUAGGAAACUUUCUAGGUGGAACGAGAUAAACCCCGCAAAAGAGCAACCCAAAUUAUGGUAGGGGCACUUGAGUUGACUAAAUGAAGUUAAACUUGAGAUGUAGCAAUACAUAGAUAAAUGAUUGUCACUCUAAAUAUAUAGAGAACAGAACAUGGCUUAUGAUA
Molecule: RNase P RNA, 352 nt
Filed under: Bacilli bacterium
Lineage: Bacteria; Bacillati; Bacillota; Bacilli
Description: RNase P RNA component class B
Rfam family: Bacterial RNase P class B
About the family: Ribonuclease P (RNase P) is a ubiquitous endoribonuclease, found in archaea, bacteria and eukarya as well as chloroplasts and mitochondria. Its best characterised activity is the generation of mature 5'-ends of tRNAs by cleaving the 5'-leader elements of precursor-tRNAs.
Source: RNAcentral